This 1101-nucleotide long non-coding RNA is filed under the name Homo sapiens (human). RNAcentral describes it as "GARS1 divergent transcript". Lineage: Eukaryota; Metazoa; Chordata; Mammalia; Primates; Hominidae. The record is from RNAcentral.
GAGACCAUUAUGAUAAUGCAGCAGGGCCACCAGUCAGUUUCAGAUAAUGAUGUCAACCCCGGCCACCAAGAAGUAACCUUGUCUCCACUAGACAGAGCAGGUUGCAGGAAUUUAGCCAAUUCAGAGGUCUUGUUCUCCAUAAUUUGGAAUUUUCCUUCGGAUUUGAUCAAGUUGGAUAGAGUUGGUCAAACCCAAUGGGAAAAAGAUGAAAACAACAAGAAACAGAAACAAACAGCAACAACAACAACAACAAAAACAAUGCAUUUAAUUAAAUGAAGAUGAGCUCAUGCUGGAGUAGGGUGGACUCUGAACCCAGUGGGACAAGCGUCCUUAUUAAGAAGAGGGAAAUCUGGACACACACAGAGCAGAGACCGCCGUGUGAAGAUGGAGGCAGAGAUCGGAGAGAUGCUGCCACACGCCACAAAUGCCUGGGGCUCCCAGAAACUACACGGAGCCUCCCCCAGCGGCUUCAGCAGGAGCAUGGCUCGGCCAACACUUUGAUCUUGGUCUUCCAGCCUCCAGAACGGUGAGUCGUUUUCCUAAAAUUCCCUUUUCCACUGGUGUGUGGUGCAAGAUGAGGCACAUUUUCCAUGGAUGGUGAACAGAGGGAGGAGCCUUUUGAUCACAACCAGGUCACCCCACUUCUAAGCCACUGUGCCUCCAGCCCCACAAGACUAAGGAGAGAGAGCGCAGCGUGGUGGAGAGUGAGCUGUGCUGGGACCAUUGUUUCCGUAACCUCGUUUUCUGUGUCCAGCUGACACACCUUCAAAGUGGCAUCAGGUCCUAAACUGUAGCUUGCAAUGUGCCUGUUUCCAGAAACCAAGGUGAAAGUGCUUUUAGACAGUGUUCCCAUGCAAGAGUCCCUUCCCAGCUUUUUUCUGGAAAUGCAUGUUUCUCUGAACUCUGAGUCCCAAGAAAAAUCACUUGAGACACCAAGAAAAUGGGGGAAGUGCUAAAAUUGUGUGGGAAUUCAAGCUUAACAAUAAACAUCAAGACAUUUUUGAUAAAAAUGAAUCCACUGACAUCGGGGAGGAGCAAGAGAACAGCACGCUGACACUGGGUCAGAGGCUAAGACCGACAUUUCUGGGAACCACUCCCGGA